GCUGGGUGUGGUGGCGCACGCCUGUAAUCCUAGCUACUCGGGAGGCUGAGGCAGGGGAAUUGCUUGAACCCAGGAGGUAGAGAUUGCAGUGAGUAGAGAUUGCACUGCUGCACUCCAGCCUGGGUGACAGAGCAAGACUCUGUCACCG
Molecule: non-coding RNA, 148 nt
Organism: Pan troglodytes (chimpanzee)
Lineage: Eukaryota; Metazoa; Chordata; Mammalia; Primates; Hominidae
Rfam family: Metazoan signal recognition particle RNA
About the family: The signal recognition particle (SRP) is a universally conserved ribonucleoprotein. It is involved in the co-translational targeting of proteins to membranes.
Source: Rfam